GCACCCUUGGUGUAUGGAAACACACGUCUUACAGUUGUCAUUUCACCGAUAUUACUCAAGCAAUCAAGAUGAGUCCGGGGUUCGACUCCCCGAGGGUGCG
Mycena olivaceomarginata is the source of this 100-nucleotide non-coding RNA. Lineage: Eukaryota; Fungi; Basidiomycota; Agaricomycetes; Agaricales; Mycenaceae. The record is from the annotation of a GenBank genome assembly.